UCUUCGAGCUCAUUCUAUGCCUGCGAGCAGCAUCAUGAGAAGAAGUACUGCAGAAUGUUCGUCCACUGUCAGCUUUUUGUAAGAGGAGCGACGGUGACAACGAUAUAUUCAAGCUGCCCCAAUCACGAAUGCUCUUCAGAUAAACCAAAUGAACAAACGAAAUUAGCGAGCACUCUUGCGCACCGAAAGAGAACCACACCCUAUUCAUCACUGACUUCAGGGCUGACGGAGAAGCUAACCGCGGCCGGCUCGUGAUUCGACCAGUUUCGAUGACAAUGUGGCAGCUGCCAUCAAGAUUCAAGUCCAGCAGCUGCGUGAGUGCGUCCCUUCCUGAGCUGGGAGAAGGGGACAUGUGGGAAACAGGUAGCCUAAGCAUUAAAGCACUGGCCAGCAACAUAAAAGGGGAGGUAGACAAAAGUGGACAAGCGAACUUUGACAACACAGAGGAGCGUGGCAUGCGUGCCGAUGAGGUAGGUCAACCUCCCCCGACCUAGUGGUCUCGGGUUCAACAAUUGGUCUACGCAUCAGGAAGGGGAAAUGGACAGAGAAAGGGAGAAUGAGCAUGAGGAGCUUCCCAGGAGAGGAAGAGUGAGAGAGAGAGAGAGAGAGAGACAGAAAAUGAUAAUAAUAGAGACAACCGGUUAUUCUCAGUGCUGGUGGACUUCAGUGGCCCAUAGCCAAUUGGUCUGGCGGAGGUGAUGGUAGGCCUUGGU
Long non-coding RNA from Sycon ciliatum, 713 nucleotides. RefSeq lists it as uncharacterized. Lineage: Eukaryota; Metazoa; Porifera; Calcarea; Leucosolenida; Sycettidae. The record is from RefSeq and is a predicted model, not a curated record. The transcript has 3 exons.